This 202-nucleotide ribosomal RNA is filed under the name uncultured bacterium. RNAcentral describes it as "partial 16S ribosomal RNA". It matches the Rfam family "Bacterial small subunit ribosomal RNA", at positions 328 to 538 of the family's 1533-position model. The record is from RNAcentral.
ACGCUCGACACCUACUGGAGGCAGCAGUGGGGAAUAUUGCACAAUGGGGGAAACCCUGAUGCAGCGACGCCGCGUGAAGGAAGAAGUAUUUCGGUAUGUAAACUUCUAUCAGCAGGGAAGAAAAUGACGGUACCUGACUAAGAAGCCCCGGCUAACUACGUGCCCGCAGCCGCGGGUAAUACUGAGCGGGCGUGGCGAAGGC